Molecule: ribosomal RNA, 506 nt
Filed under: Tobrilus stefanskii
Lineage: Eukaryota; Metazoa; Nematoda; Enoplea; Triplonchida; Tobrilidae
Description: eukaryotic LSU rRNA
Rfam family: Eukaryotic large subunit ribosomal RNA
Source: RNAcentral
UGAAACACGGACCAAGGAGUCUAACAUGUACGCAAGUCAUUGGGUGGAAAACCCAAAGGCGCAAUGAAAGUGAAGGUUGGCUCUGUCAACCGAGGUAGGAUCCGCUAAGCGGCGCACUACCGUCCCAUCGCAUCUGCUCGUCAGGGCGGUGGAGAUAGAGCGUACAUGUUAGGACCCGAAAGAUGGUGAACUAUGCCUGAGCAGAACGAAGCCAGAGGAAACUCUGGUGGAAGUUCGUAGCGGUUCUGACGUGCAAAUCGAUCGUCAGACUUGGGUAUAGGGGCGAAAGACUAAUCGAACCAUCUAGUAGCUGGUUCCCUCCGAAGUUUCCCUCAGGAUAGCUGGCAUUGGGAACGCAGUUUUACCCGGUAAAGCUAAUGAUUAGAGGUCUUGGGGACGAAACGACCUCAACCUAUUCUCAAACUUUAAAUGGGUAAGAAAGCGAGCUUUCUUGAUUGAAGCUCGUGAUUGAAUGCGAAUGCCAAGUGGGCCAUUUUUGGUAAGCA